Molecule: ribosomal RNA, 359 nt
Filed under: uncultured bacterium
Lineage: Bacteria
Description: bacterial SSU rRNA
Rfam family: Bacterial small subunit ribosomal RNA
Source: RNAcentral
AACGAACGCUGGCGGCAGGCCUAACACAUGCAAGUCGAACGCUCCGCAAGGGGAGUGGCGCACGGGUGAGUAACACGUGGGAGCCUACCUUCUGGUACGGAACAACCAAGGGAACUCUGGCUGAUACCGUAUACGACCUCCGGGUGAAAGAUUGAUCGCCGGAAGAGGGGCCCGCGUCCGAUUAGGUAGUUGGUGAGGUAACGGCUCACCAAGCCUGCGAUCGGUAGCUGGUCUGAGAGGAUGACCAGCCACACUGGGACUGAGACACGGCCCAGACUCCUACGGGAGGCAGCAGUGGGGAAUAUUGGACAAUGGGCGCAAGCCUGAUCCAGCCAUGCCGCGUGAGUGAUGAAGGCCUU